GACCGCGUAGCUCAAUUGGCAGAGCAUUGGGCUAGUAUUCCAAAGGUCGUAGGUUCGAUCCCCCCCGUGGCCA
Molecule: non-coding RNA, 73 nt
Organism: Paramuricea clavata
Lineage: Eukaryota; Metazoa; Cnidaria; Anthozoa; Malacalcyonacea; Plexauridae
Source: the annotation of a GenBank genome assembly